CUCAGGAUGAACGCUAGCUACAGGCUUAACACAUGCAAGUCGAGGGGAAACGACAUCGAAAGCUUGCUUUUGAUGGGCGUCGACCGGCGCACGGGUGAGUAACGCGUAUCCAACCUGCCCACCACUUGGGGAUAACCUUGCGAAAGUAAGACUAAUACCCAAUGACGUCUCUAGAAGACAUCUGAAAGAGAUUAAAGAUUUAUCGGUGAUGGAUGGGGAUGCGUCUGAUUAGCUUGUUGGCGGGGUAACGGCCCACCAAGGCGACGAUCAGUAGGGGUUCUGAGAGGAAGGUCCCCCACAUUGGAACUGAGACACGGUCCAAACUCCUACGGGAGGCAGCAGUGAGGAAUAUUGGUCAAUGGGCGAGAGCCUGAACCAGCCAAGUAGCGUGCAGGAUGACGGCCCUAUGGGUUGUAAACUGCAUUUAUAAGGGAAUAAAGUGAGUCUCGUGAGACUUUUUGCAUGUACCUUAUGAAUAAGGACCGGCUAAUUCCGUGCCAGCAGCCGCGGUAAUACGGAAGGUCCGGGCGUUAUCCGGAUUUAU
RNAcentral lists this ribosomal RNA (544 nucleotides) under uncultured Bacteroidota bacterium. RNAcentral's name for it is "bacterial SSU rRNA". It matches the Rfam family "Bacterial small subunit ribosomal RNA", at positions 23 to 554 of the family's 1533-position model. The record is from RNAcentral. Lineage: Bacteria; Pseudomonadati; Bacteroidota.